RNAcentral lists this long non-coding RNA (365 nucleotides) under Nicotiana benthamiana. RNAcentral's name for it is "long non-coding RNA (NBEN_LNC023593)". Lineage: Eukaryota; Viridiplantae; Streptophyta; Magnoliopsida; Solanales; Solanaceae. The record is from RNAcentral.
UCAUUUUACACUUGUAGGCGCCCUUGAAUUUCCCCUUCUCCCAAAUUCUCUCUCAAGCUCCCUCAGAAUCCCUCGUCGCCUCCUUCCAUCUCCACCCUAAGGUCGCCUGAAUCCAUGGCUUCCAAAGCCAUUAAGAACUUGUACUUGCUUCCUCCGACUCCUACAUGCAUGCUUACUAUGGUUUCAAGGUCAUACCUUGACUAAGCUUGGCCCAAACUUUAUUUCAUUCGAGUUAUAUGGCUAUCUCCGACCUUGCUCUGGCCACACAUGGAUGUUCAAGCCCGAUCUUGACUUCUCCGACUCAGAUUAAUGACUUUUCAAGCCUUUCUCACCACCUGGGUUCUUCUGAAAUCCUAACCUUCGAG